Rhinolophus ferrumequinum (greater horseshoe bat) is the source of this 1452-nucleotide RNA transcript. It is a transcript of the gene named ring finger protein 175, with no coding region annotated. The transcript is spliced from 8 exons. The record is from RefSeq and is a predicted model, not a curated record. NCBI's taxonomy places the organism in Eukaryota, Metazoa, Chordata, Mammalia, Chiroptera, Rhinolophidae.
GCCGCCGCCAGCUCAGCGCCCAGCCGCCGCCCGCGCGUCCGAGGGGCGCCCCCUCUGCUGACUCCGGGAGACCCUCCGGGCCGCGCGCGCGGCGGAGGCAUGGCCGCGAGGGCCGCGCGCAAGGCGAAGCCGGUGCUGGAGGUGCCCCCACAGCCCGAGCAGCUGGUAACCCUGUUGCAGAUGUGGGUUGUCCCUUUGUACUUCACGAUAAAACUUUACUGGUGGCGAUUUCUGUCUAUGUGGGGACUGUUCUCCGUUAUUACCAGUUACAUCCUGUUCAGAGCUACCCGAAAACCCCUCUCAGGGAGAACGCCGCGGUUGGUCUACAAAUGGUUUCUUCUAAUCUACAAACUCAGCUAUGCAUUUGGUGUUGUGGGUUAUUUGGCCAUCAUAUUUACAAUGUGUGGACUCCAUUUAUUUUUCAAAAUCAAGGCUAGAGAUUCCAUGGAUUUCGGCAUUGUGUCCUUGUUCUAUGGCCUCUAUUAUGGCAUAAUGGGGAGAGACUUUGCAGAGAUCUGCUCAGAUUACAUGGCUUCUACUAUAGGGUUCUACAGUGUCAGUGGGAUGCCCACAAGGAGCCUGUCAGACAGUAUCUGCGCCAUCUGUGGACAGAAGAUCAUUGUGGAGCUCGAUGAAGAAGGGCUCAUUGAAAACACCUACCAGCUGUCAUGCAAUCAUAUCUUUCAUGAAUUCUGCAUCCGAGGUUGGUGUAUUGUUGGGAAAAAGCAGACGUGCCCUUACUGCAAAGAGAAGGUUGAUUUGAAGAGGAUGAUCAGUAACCCCUGGGAACGUACACACAUUUUGUAUGGACAAAUCCUGGACUGGCUUCGUUAUCUGGUGGCCUGGCAACCCAUGGUGAUAGGGAUAGUACAAGUUAUUAACUAUUCACUAGGGCUGGAAUAGCACAGCAGACUUACCCCAGAAGUAAUGUAUUGACUUAUUUGUUGAAACAUCUCUAAAUCCUUGAUCCUUCAUUUAAUAUUGACUUUUUUUCAUUUUAGAGAUGAUCCCAAAAGAGAACUGAAUAAAAUUUGGUCUAUAUAAGGCAAUUCGUAUAUGUGGAAAGACUUUAAAGAGCUGAACAACAGAAUAAACAAAUGAUGCGUGCCUUGCAUCUUUGCCAUCAUGAUUGUUUUCUAAUCCAUGCAUGUGACAACCCCCCACCACACACACACACAUCCCAUCUCUAGUUUGGCUGAUAAUGAUCUCAUCUGUAAAAUGUUUUCAGAGGUUUGCAAAAUACUUCUCACAUAGAACAUUUAGUUACAAUGAAUACCUUCUGAUCAAUUGAAAAUCUUCAAAGAAGUAGUUAAGAAGUUGGUACUGUUAACACUCUCCCAGGAGUUUGCACAAGACAGAAGAAACACUAUGUGACUGUCUCAAGGGCCAAAGCCUGUUUUGCACUUCAUGAACUUAUUUCUUUGGGUUAUUUUUCUGCGAACAACGAUCCCC